This 497-nucleotide ribosomal RNA is filed under the name uncultured bacterium. Its description in RNAcentral is "partial 16S ribosomal RNA". It matches the Rfam family "Bacterial small subunit ribosomal RNA", at positions 28 to 507 of the family's 1533-position model. The record is from RNAcentral.
GAUGAACGCUGGCGGCGUGCCUAAUACAUGCAAGUCGAGCGAACGGACGAGAAGCUUGCUUCUCUGAUGUUUUCGGCGGAAGGGUGCGUAACACGUUGAUAACCUACCUCUAAGACUUGGAUAACUUCGGGAAACCGGAGCUAAUACCGGAUAAUAUUUUGAACCGCAUUGUUCAAAAGUGAAAGACGGUCUUGCUGUCACUUAUAGAUGGAUCCGCGCUGCAUUAGCUAGUUGGUAAGGUAACGGCUUACCAAGGCAACGAUGCAUAGCCGACCUGAGAGGGUGAUCGGCCACACUGGAACUGAGACACGGUCCAGACUCCUACGGGAGGCAGCAGUAGGGAAUCUUCCGCAAUGGGCGAAAGCCUGACGGAGCAACGCCGCGUGAGUGAUGAAGGUCUUCGGAUCGUAAAACUCUGUUAUUAGGGAAGAACAUAUGUGUAAGUAACUGUGCACAUCUUGACGGUACCUAAUCAGAAAGCCACGGCUAACUACGUG